UUGUUGUUUCUUUGGUGAAGUUGAGAAUUCUUAAGAUAAAAUUGUAAUUUUGAACAAGAAAUUUACUCAAAAAAGGAGAAAUCAUGAAAAAGGUUAAACGUAGCGGUGUCCGUGAUGCCAUGUAUAAAGUUUUAAUUCGGUGUUUCUCAUAAUUUCAAGCUGAAAAACGAGAAAAAUAUUUGGAAAACGUUUCAAAACGUACAGCAGAUUAUACCGGGGUUUCUGAAAGCACAGUACGCAGGAUAGUGGAGCAAUGGAGUAAAAAUGAAGGAGAAUAUCUACAAAAAAUAAAUAAAAAUAUGUAGUUUUCAAA
Molecule: long non-coding RNA, 313 nt
Organism: Colias croceus (clouded yellow)
Lineage: Eukaryota; Metazoa; Arthropoda; Insecta; Lepidoptera; Pieridae
Exons: 2
Source: RefSeq, a predicted model, not a curated record